GAGAGAUUUUGAAAAUCAAAUUUAAGAACUUCUUGAAAACUAAGAAAUUUGGAAACAAAAAUUAAUAAUACUGAAUAAAUUAUUUCAAAUUUUCAAACCAAAAUAAAAUAUCUUGAAAAAUUAAUUAAACGAAAUUCCUUUAAAAAGGGAAAUUUCGAAGCAAGAAAAUUCUUAAAGUAUAAAUAAAAUUUUGAAACAAAUAUUAAAAAUUGUGGAAAUAAGUUCAAUUUUUCUAAAAAAGUAUUAAUUUUUUUUAAACCGUGCUUAAUUCGAAAAAUUCAAAAAUUUCGUUGACAACAGCAGCUCGUCGAAAACAUGUCACCAACAACAUAAAUCCAUCGCAGCAGUCGUAAAAAUUUAUUUUGCAGCAAUCCAACGCUUCCACGCUGACAAAAGCAAAAGCAUACAACUCUCAUCAAUGCGCCUGUAAAUAUCGCAAACCACAAAAUAAAUUUUCAAAAUAAAAAAAAAAAAAAAAA
Bactrocera dorsalis (oriental fruit fly) is the source of this 479-nucleotide long non-coding RNA. RefSeq lists it as uncharacterized. The transcript is spliced from 2 exons. The record is from RefSeq and is a predicted model, not a curated record. Lineage: Eukaryota; Metazoa; Arthropoda; Insecta; Diptera; Tephritidae.